GACGAACGCUGGCGGCGUGCUUAACACAUGCAAGUCGAACGGUGAAGCGAGUGCUUGCACUCGUGGAUCAGUGGCGAACGGGUGAGUAACACGUGAGUAACCUGCCCAUCACUCUGGGAUAAGCACUGGAAACGGUGUCUAAUACUGGAUACGACCAACCCUUGCAUGGGGUGUUGGUGGAAAGAUUUAUCGGUGAUGGAUGGACUCGCGGCCUAUCAGCUUGUUGGCGGGGUAAUGGCCCACCAAGGCGACGACGGGUAGCCGGCCUGAGAGGGUGACCGGCCACACUGGGACUGAGACACGGCCCAGACUCCUACGGGAGGCAGCAGUGGGGAAUAUUGCACAAUGGGCGAAAGCCUGAUGCAGCGACGCCGCGUGAGGGAUGACGGCCUUCGGGUUGUAAACCUCUUUCAGCAGGGAAGAAGCGAAAGUGACGGUACCUGCAGAAGAGGCACCGGCUAACUACGUG
This 469-nucleotide ribosomal RNA is filed under the name uncultured bacterium. RNAcentral describes it as "partial 16S ribosomal RNA". It matches the Rfam family "Bacterial small subunit ribosomal RNA", at positions 28 to 507 of the family's 1533-position model. The record is from RNAcentral.